AGAAGUUGAUGUACAAGAAGUAGUUUA
This 27-nucleotide non-coding RNA is filed under the name Cricetulus griseus (Chinese hamster). The record is from RNAcentral. Lineage: Eukaryota; Metazoa; Chordata; Mammalia; Rodentia; Cricetidae.